RNAcentral lists this unclassified non-coding RNA (275 nucleotides) under Melitaea cinxia (Glanville fritillary). RNAcentral describes it as "misc RNA ENSMCXG00005015882.1". Lineage: Eukaryota; Metazoa; Arthropoda; Insecta; Lepidoptera; Nymphalidae. The record is from RNAcentral.
GCGGCAUUUUUGAAGAGGCGGCCAGUCUGGCGCGAACCAGCACAUCGAUAGCAGUCGGCCGCAUCGAGCGGGAGCGAUAGUGUAAAUUCAUCUACAACCACCUCCGUCUAUUUUGGCCGAGCGAUACCGGCUUAGGCAAAGACGUCAGGCUGCCGGCGAGAGCGUUGCGAGUUACGUAGCCGAACUAAAGAGAUUGGCGCGUCACUUGCUAAUCACAGUCUACUAAGGCAGUCUUCGAAGAAAAUGGCUGAGAGGUUGAGAGGCGGUCGUUUGGG